GGCCUCUCAAAGCUUACCACAGGCUGUGUUCUUUACACUGGCCAUAUAGAAAGAGCAGGUACAGUAAAUGUUCCCUGUACACAACUCAAACCAGGCCCUUUGCCUGGUCUGUAUUGUGAAUGGGGGGGACAAGA
Molecule: small nucleolar RNA, 134 nt
Organism: Suncus etruscus (white-toothed pygmy shrew)
Lineage: Eukaryota; Metazoa; Chordata; Mammalia; Eulipotyphla; Soricidae
Product: small nucleolar RNA SNORA51
Exons: 1
Source: RefSeq, a predicted model, not a curated record